RNAcentral lists this ribosomal RNA (866 nucleotides) under Phialemonium sp. RNAcentral's name for it is "partial large subunit ribosomal RNA". It matches the Rfam family "Eukaryotic large subunit ribosomal RNA", at positions 40 to 937 of the family's 3401-position model. The record is from RNAcentral. Lineage: Eukaryota; Fungi; Ascomycota; Sordariomycetes; Cephalothecales; Cephalothecaceae.
AUAUCAGUAAGCGGAGGAAAAGAAACCAACAGGGAUUGCCUCAGUAACGGCGAGUGAAGCGGCAACAGCUCAAAUUUGAAAUCUGGCCUCGGCCCGAGUUGUAAUCUGCAGAGGAUGCUUUGGGCGCAGGCGCCUUCCGAGUGCCCUGGAACGGGACGCCACAGAGGGUGAGAGCCCCGUAUGGUUGGCGCCGAGCCUGUGUAAAGCUCUCUCGACGAGUCGGGUAGCUUGGGAAUGCUGCUCUAAGCGGGAGGUAAACUUCUUCUAAAGCUAAAUACUGGCCAGAGACCGAUAGCGCACAAGUAGAGUGAUCGAAAGAUGAAAAGCACUUUGAAAAGAGGGUCAAAUAGUACGUGAAAUUGUUGAAAGGGAAGCGCUCAUGACCAGACUUGCGCCGGGUUGAUCAUCCAGUGGUUUCCACUGGUGCACUCUGCCCGGCUCAGGCCAGCGUCGGCUGCUGUGGGGGGACAAAAGCUCGGGGAAAGUAGCUCUCUUCGGGGAGUGUUAUAGCCCCUUGCAGAAUACCCCCGCGGCGGCCGAGGUCCGCGCCCUGCAAGGACGCUGGCGUAAUGGUCAUCAGCGACCCGUCUUGAAACACGGACCAAGGAGUCGAGGUUUUGCGCGAGUGUUCGGGUGCAAAGCCCCAGCGCGUAAUUAAAGUGAACGUAGGUGAGAGCUUCGGCGCAUCAUCGACCGAUCCUGAUGUAUUCGGAUGGAUUUGAGUAGGAGCGUAAAGCCUCGGACCCGAAAGAUGGUGAACUAUGCCUGUAUAGGGUGAAGCCAGAGGAAACUCUGGUGGAGGCUCGCAGCGGUUCUGACGUGCAAAUCGAUCGUCAAAUAUGGGCAUGGGGGCGAAAGACUAAUCG